UACGUAGGGUGCGAGCGUUGUCCGGAAUUAUUGGGCGUAAAGGGCUCGUAGGCGGUUUGUCGCGUUCGGGAGUGAAAUCCACUGGCUUAACUGGUGGCUUGCUUUCGAUACGGGCAGACUGGAGGUAUGCAGGGGGAGAACGGAAUUCCUGGUGUAGCGGGUGAAAAUGCGCAGAUAUCAGGAAGAACACCAAUGGCGAAAGCAGCUUUCUGGGACGGUACUGACGCUGGAGAACGCGAAAGCGUGGGGGAGCGAACAGG
This 260-nucleotide ribosomal RNA is filed under the name uncultured bacterium. Its description in RNAcentral is "partial 16S ribosomal RNA". It matches the Rfam family "Bacterial small subunit ribosomal RNA", at positions 524 to 776 of the family's 1533-position model. The record is from RNAcentral.